UAGGGAAUCUUCCACAAUGGACGCAAGUCUGAUGGAGCAACGCCGCGUGAGUGAAGAAGGUUUUCGGACCGUAAAGCUCUGUUGUUGGUGAAGAAGGAUAGAGGUAGUAACUGGCCUUUAUUUGACGGUAAUCAACCAGAAAGUCACGGCUAACUACGUGCCAGCAGCCGCGGUAAUACGUAGGUGGCAAGCGUCGUCGGUACUUGAUUUGG
Molecule: ribosomal RNA, 212 nt
Filed under: uncultured bacterium
Lineage: Bacteria
Description: partial 16S ribosomal RNA
Rfam family: Bacterial small subunit ribosomal RNA
Source: RNAcentral